AGUGAACGCUGGCGGUAGGCCUAACACAUGCAAGUCGAACGGCAGCACAGUAAGAGCUUGCUCUUACGGGUGGCGCGUGGCGGACGGGUGAGGAAUACAUCGGAAUCUACUUUUUCGUGGGGGAUAACGUAGGGACACUUACGCUAAUACCGCAUACGACCUACGGGUGAAAGCAGGGGAUCUUCGUACCUUGCGCGAUUGAAUGAGCCGAUGUCGGAUUAGCUAGUUGGCGGGGUAAAGGCCCACCAAGGCGGCGAUCCGUAGCUGGUCUGAGAGGAUGAUCAGCCACACUGGAACGGAGAAACGGUCCAGACGCCUAGGGGAGGCAGCAGUGGGGAAUAUUGGACAAUGGGCGCAAGCCUGAUCCAGCCAUACCGCGGGGGUGAAGAAGGCCUUCGGGUUGUAAAGCCCUUUUGUUGGGAAAGAAAAGCAGCAGGUUAAUACCCCGCUGUUCUGACGGUACCCAAAGAAUAAGCACCGGCUGACUUCGU
Molecule: ribosomal RNA, 491 nt
Filed under: uncultured bacterium
Lineage: Bacteria
Description: partial 16S ribosomal RNA
Rfam family: Bacterial small subunit ribosomal RNA
Source: RNAcentral